This 161-nucleotide ribosomal RNA is filed under the name uncultured eukaryote. RNAcentral's name for it is "partial small subunit ribosomal RNA". The record is from RNAcentral.
GUACACACCGCCCGUCGCUCCUACCGAUUCGAGUGGUCCGGUGAACCUUCUGGACYGUGAGAGUCCCCGAGGCUCYUGCGCRRGAAGUUAAGUAAACCUUAUCACUUAGAGGAAGGAGAAGUCGUAACAAGGUUUCCGUAGGUGAACCUGCAGAAGGAUCA